Molecule: transfer RNA, 71 nt
Filed under: Marmota monax (woodchuck)
Lineage: Eukaryota; Metazoa; Chordata; Mammalia; Rodentia; Sciuridae
Rfam family: tRNA
About the family: Transfer RNA (tRNA) molecules are approximately 80 nucleotides in length. Their secondary structure includes four short double-helical elements and three loops (D, anti-codon, and T loops). Further hydrogen bonds mediate the characteristic L-shaped molecular structure. tRNAs have two regions of fundamental functional importance: the anti-codon, which is responsible for specific mRNA codon recognition, and the 3' end, to which the tRNAs corresponding amino acid is attached (by aminoacyl-tRNA synthetases). tRNAs cope with the degeneracy of the genetic code in two manners: having more than one tRNA (with a specific anti-codon) for a particular amino acid; and 'wobble' base-pairing, i.e. permitting non-standard base-pairing at the 3rd anti-codon position.
Source: Rfam by way of RNAcentral
GGGGAGAUAGCUCAGUGGUAAAGCACUUGCCUUCCAUGAAUGAGGGUCUGGGUUCAAUCCCCAUCACCACA